Molecule: long non-coding RNA, 206 nt
Filed under: Elaeis guineensis (African oil palm)
Lineage: Eukaryota; Viridiplantae; Streptophyta; Magnoliopsida; Arecales; Arecaceae
Description: long non-coding RNA (EGUI_LNC079441)
Source: RNAcentral
CAAACUUCAUCAAUGACCGAGCUUCUCCAAUAGUAAGACUUCUACAGUAAUCAGACUCUGUCCAAGUUUCUACGGUGGCCGGCCGCCUUUUGAAUUUCAUCCGAGCUCUUGCAAGAGCCGGACUUCGUCCGAACUCUUACAAUGGAUGGAUCCCAGAUGAACUUCUACAACGGAUGGGCUCCACCAGUCGAAUCUCUACUCCAAAC